AACGAACGCUGGCGGCAUGCCUAACACAUGCAAGUCGAACGCCCUCUUCGGAGGGAGUGGCGCACGGGUGCGUAACGCGUGGGAACCUGCCCUUAGGUUCGGAAUAACUCAGAGAAAUUUGAGCUAAUACCGGAUAAUGUCUUCGGACCAAAGAUUUAUCGCCUUUGGAUGGGCCCGCGUUGGAUUAGCUAGUUGGUGGGGUAAAGGCCUACCAAGGCGACGAUCCAUAGCUGGUCUGAGAGGAUGAUCAGCCACACUGGGACUGAGACACGGCCCAGACUCCUACGGGAGGCAGCAGUGGGGAAUAUUGGACAAUGGGCGAAAGCCUGAUCCAGCAAUGCCGCGUGAGUGAUGAAGGCCUUAGGGUUGUAAAGCUCUUUACUGGGAUGAUAAUGACAGUACCCAGAGAAUAAGCUCCGGCUAACUCCGUGCCAGCAGCCGCGGUAAU
This 448-nucleotide ribosomal RNA is filed under the name uncultured bacterium. Its description in RNAcentral is "bacterial SSU rRNA". It matches the Rfam family "Bacterial small subunit ribosomal RNA", at positions 29 to 524 of the family's 1533-position model. The record is from RNAcentral.